GGAAGUAAAAGUCAUAACAAGGUUUCCGUAGGUGAACCUGCGGAAGGAUCAUCAACAAAACAAUUCAAAAAAAACACCAAUUUCAUUCCAAAUUUGGAAUGUUUUUUAAUGGGGAUGUGGAGAUUUCUAUUAGAUUUUUCUCAUGCCCCAUCAUUUAAAAACUAAAACUCCUAAAAUUAAAUUAAAAAAUUAUUCAAAAAUUUUUAAAAUAUAAAAAUAGAGACAACUUUUAACAAUGGAUCUCUUGGCUCUC
This 253-nucleotide unclassified non-coding RNA is filed under the name plant metagenome. RNAcentral's name for it is "partial contains small subunit ribosomal RNA, internal transcribed spacer 1, and 5.8S ribosomal RNA". The stretch from base 1 to 54 matches the Rfam family "Eukaryotic small subunit ribosomal RNA", at positions 1778 to 1831 of the family's 1831-position model. The record is from RNAcentral.